GUGCCAGCCGCCGCGGUACUACGGAGGGUGCGAGCGUUAAUCGGAAUUACUGGGCGUAAAGCGUACGCAGGCGGUUUGUUAAGCGAGAUGUGAAAGCCCCGGGCUCAACCUGGGAACAGCAUUUCGAACUGGCAAGCUAGAGUGUGAUAGAGGGUGGUAGAAUUUCAGGUGUAGCGGUGAAAUGCGUAGAGAUCUGAAGGAAUACCGAUGGCGAAGGCAGCCACCUGGGUCAACACUGACGCUCAUGUACGAAAGCGUGGGGAGCAAACAGGAUUAGAAACCCCUGUAGUCC
Molecule: ribosomal RNA, 292 nt
Filed under: uncultured bacterium
Lineage: Bacteria
Description: partial 16S ribosomal RNA
Rfam family: Bacterial small subunit ribosomal RNA
Source: RNAcentral